CCUACGGGAGGCAGCAGUAGGGAAUAUUGCUCAAUGGGGGAAACCCUGAAGCAGCAACGCCGCGUGGAGGAUGAAGGUUUUCGGAUUGUAAACUCCUUUUGUUAGAGAAGAUAAUGACGGUAUCUAACGAAUAAGCACCGGCUAACUCCGUGCCAGCAGCCGCGGUAAUACGGAGGGUGCAAGCGUUACUCGGAAUCACUGGGCGUAAAGAGGGCGUAGGCGGGAUAGCAAGUCAGAUGUGAAAUCCUAUGGCUUAACCAUAGAACUGCAUUUGAAACUGUUAUUCUAGAGUAUGGGAGAGGUAGGUGGAAUUCUUGGUGUAGGGGUAAAAUCCGUAGAGAUUAAGAGGAAUACUCAUGGCGAAGGCGACCUGCUAGAACAUAACUGACGCUGAUGCGCGAAAGCGUGGGGAGCAAACAGGAUUAGAUACCCGGGUAGUC
RNAcentral lists this ribosomal RNA (440 nucleotides) under uncultured bacterium. Its description in RNAcentral is "partial 16S ribosomal RNA". It matches the Rfam family "Bacterial small subunit ribosomal RNA", at positions 338 to 795 of the family's 1533-position model. The record is from RNAcentral.